Molecule: long non-coding RNA, 1429 nt
Filed under: Capsicum annuum
Lineage: Eukaryota; Viridiplantae; Streptophyta; Magnoliopsida; Solanales; Solanaceae
Description: long non-coding RNA (CANN_LNC002693)
Source: RNAcentral
AAUAAAUAAAAAUGUGAAAAUAAAUCCUAUCUAACCUACACUAAUCCUAACUAUGCUCCCGUGCUUUACUCGAUGCCUUGGGCCUUCAUAACGAAAGUCUUCCUCCAACAUAGUACGUCGGGGUAUUCCCCGAUGAAUAAAUACAAUGUGUCUUGGGAAAUUCCCUGGCUAAAUGAAUACAUUUGAAUUAAACGCGAUAAACUAGAAAGAAAUAUUCACACGCACAUUUCAUCAUUCAACCAAAACAAGUUCUAAAAUUUACCUACCUGAACCUAUAUUGCCUAUCCGUUUCAACAUAUCAUAAAUCUAUUACGUUUUGGCAAUAUUCAUGCUCAUUCCGAAAAUGACAAAGAACCAAGAAUCUAAAUUCACUAUUUCAUCAAAUUUUCAAUUCUCACUCCCCAAAUUCCCUUUUAAUACCAAAUUUUCACAAUUCGCGAUCCCACUUCAACAAUCCUCAAUCACUUUAUUCAAAAUUAACAACAAAUCAACAUCACUCAAUAUUCCAUCAUCAAAUGCAUAAACAACAAUGAAAUCAAACGAUGAUAAUCAACCAACACGAAAUCAUAGACGAUUCAACCAAUUGAAAUAAAGGAAAGAGAAUGGGUAAAGAAAUGGACCUCAAUAGAACGUUCUUGUAGAUAAUAAAAAAGUCCAAAAAUCUAAAUACUCGAGCAAGGAACCCUAACAAUGAGCAAACCAAACCCAAAUAUAGAAAUCCAACUCAGACAGAUUCGAGAACCGAUGGAGAAUCUCGAGAUGAAUGAUUCCAUCCCAGUAUAAAAAAACAACACCAAUGACAAAAUCUAGUCCUGAUUUUUUGGUAGAAAAACUAAGAACCCCAACAAACCGAACUCCGGUGAGGUAACAAUAGCAAAAAUCGAUAGGAAUAGAUCAGAUUCUGGAGAAUUUUGGGUGGCUUGAUGUUUUUCUGGAGACUCUUUAACGUUUUCGGCUAGUCAUGGUUUGAAAUUGAAGGAAACGAUGAAAAUGCGUGUUUUUCUUUACGAAGAAACGACCCCAAAAGAAAUGGAUUUCAAAGGGGAGAAAAAAAAUGACGAAGAUGGCAGUUUUUUUUUUAGUUGUUUCUGUACCCGUGGAGAAGAAAGAAAAAAAUCAAAAAAUAUGGAGUCCUCCCAUAUCUGUGUGUGUAAGUGUUCCUAUGGAGAAGAAAGCCCAAGAGAAAAAAAUCCUUUUUUUUAGUGUAUUUGUUCCCGUAUGCCUUUUUAGUGAAUGGGGAAGAAGACCCCUCCUUUUUGUCUUUGUUUGUAUGUAUAUAUUAUUAAUACCCUCUAGAAAAAUCCUGGUUGUCCCUAUGUGGAAAAUAUAUUGUUGAGGGAUUUUUGGGUGGUCCCCCUAGAUGUCCUCUCUUGUGUCUAUAUGUAGAUUAUAAACAAAAUGGUCCCCUCUUUUUUUAUCCUUGUCAUCU